This 403-nucleotide ribosomal RNA is filed under the name Verrucomicrobiota bacterium. RNAcentral describes it as "Verrucomicrobia bacterium partial 16S ribosomal RNA". It matches the Rfam family "Bacterial small subunit ribosomal RNA", at positions 355 to 776 of the family's 1533-position model. The record is from RNAcentral. Lineage: Bacteria; Pseudomonadati; Verrucomicrobiota.
UGGGGAAUAUUGCACAAUGGGGGAAACCCUGAUGCAGCGACGCCGCGUGAGCGAAGAAGGCUUUCGAGUCGUAAAGCUCUGUCCUAGGAGAAGAUAAUGACGGUAUCAUAGGAGGAAGCCCUGGCUAAAUACGUGCCAGCAGCCGCGGUAAUACGUAUGGGGCGAGCGUUGUCCGGAAUUAUUGGGCGUAAAGGGUACGUAGGUGGUUUUUUAAGUCAGGUGUCAAAGCGUGGAGCUUAACUCCAUUAAGCACUUGAAACUGAAAGACUUGAGUGCAGGAGAGAAAAGUGGAAUUCCUAGUGUAGCGGUGAAAUGCGUAGAGAUUAGGAGGAACACCGGUGGCGAAAGCGGCUUUUUGGCCUGCAACUGACACUGAGGCGCGAAAGCGUGGGGAGCAAACAGG